GUUCUGCAUCGAGGGGCUGGAUGGGUGAGAGCAACCGAAGCCUGGGCUAGCGCAGGAGAUAGACAAGAGCUCCGCCCUCCAUCCAUUUCUCUGAACGUUCUAGGUCUUGAUUUUCACCACUCGCGGGGUAAUAUUUCCACCCAAAAUCUAGCAACGAUCCCGUCCAUGAAAACAGCUGAAAAUCUCCCCUUUGAAAGAACACGUCCAGGAGGCUUUCCAUCCCUUAACUAAGCUUGUGCCCGCUUUGCCUACCCCCCCUGGCGAUGUGGGGCAGGGCGCAUCCGCCGGCGACCACUUGGCCUGAUUUCCCGGCCCCCGGGAGGACUUCUGAACCAGGAUUUGUGACGUGCCGCUAGGAGAAGGGGCACAUGAUGGGGAGGGGAACUCUCCGAGCACAUUCCCCAAACUGCAAAUCUGCCCAGGGACGGCUGGGCGCCUGGGUUGAGGAGAAGGGCCCGCAGUCUUAUUGGUCUCUGCAGACAGAAGCGAGGGGGAAGAACUCAUCACGAGUUACAAGGGCGGAAAACAGCCGCCCCAGGUCUCCCCACAGCUCCCCGGACGCCCCGCGCUAGGCCUCGGGCCCCAACGCCUGGGAAUGGUCGGCGGUGCUUGGGCCCCGCCCGGGGGCGAGGGGCAGCGGCCCGGCCCCAGGCCUCAUCUCCGCACCGGGAGCUCGGGCUCACACUGUAGAAUGAAGUGCCCUGUAGAAUAUUCGAUCCCCACGGCCAGCUAGGGACCCCGCCACAGUGGAGCGCCUCGCCACCUCCAUCCGCCCUCCUGUGGUCCGGGACUAGGUGCAGUUACAGGACCCGCCUAAGAAGAGCACUAGAAGGACGCAGUGGGUGGAUGUCCGAGUUCGAGCGGCUGGAUGUCGCGCGGUGGCAACAAGUAGCUCGGAAAAGGGGUAUUGAGAGUCCACUGCGAGCUGCUUCCUGCUUGCGGCCAAUGGGGACGUGCGGCAGAGCAGUUAGAAACAAGAAGGGAGAAGACUAAAGAGAGACUCCUUACUUCUGGCAACGAGAUACACAAAAGGGGUUGCGAACAUCCAAAAGGGUCUUGCUCCAGCACAGCUGCCAGUGGGCGGCUUCCCGGUGAGAUUUUGCCAGCACCCGACAGAGUUUCCUGCUUGCCAUCCUCAGCCUGCAGCACCUCAGCAAACUCCUCCACCAUCCGCAGGCCCCGGAGCCACCCUCACCAGUGAACUCUGAAUCUCAGCCUUGGAGGGGAGGGAGAGUUUGUUGCUUCCUUGGGUUCCCUAUGUCAGCCCUAGAGGUAGUGGCUGCUCCCUUUGUUAUUCCUGAAUUAUCUAGAGUUCCAUUUACCCUUCUUCGUAAUGAAUCCUCCUUUACUAGUUAAUAAUUUUUUACAUUAAAUUUUCCCUAUUCAAAC
This 1389-nucleotide long non-coding RNA is filed under the name Homo sapiens (human). Its description in RNAcentral is "HSALNT0302032". The record is from RNAcentral. Lineage: Eukaryota; Metazoa; Chordata; Mammalia; Primates; Hominidae.